AUACGGAGGAUCCGAGCGUUAUCCGGAUUUAUUGGGUUUAAAGGGUGCGCAGGCGGGGGAUUAAGUCGGAGGUGGAAAUUUGCAGCUCAACUGUUAAAGGGGCCUCGAAACCUGUUUCCUUUGGUGUAGAUGUAGAUGGCGGAAUUUGUGGCGUUGCGGGGCAAUGCAUAGAUAUCACGAGGAACUCCUAUUGCGCAGGCAGCUUACUAAACUACUACUGACGCUCAGGCACGAAGGCGUGGGGAUCAAACAGGAUUAGAUACCCUGGUAGUCCACGCAGUAAACGAUGAUUACUAGCUGUUUGCGAUACAAUGUAAGCGGCUGAGCGAAAGCGUUAAGUAAUCCACCUGGGGAGUACGUUCGCAAGAAUGAAACUCAAAUGAAUUGACGGGG
Molecule: ribosomal RNA, 393 nt
Filed under: uncultured bacterium
Lineage: Bacteria
Description: partial 16S ribosomal RNA
Rfam family: Bacterial small subunit ribosomal RNA
Source: RNAcentral